UGCCAGACUCCUACGGGAGGCAGCAGUGGGGAAUAUUGCACAAUGGGGGAAACCCUGAUGCAGCAACGCCGCGUGGGUGAAGGAGCGUUUCGGCGCGUAAAGCCCUGUCAGCGGGGAAGAAGAAAGACGGUACCCGACCAAGAAGCCCCGGCUAACUACGUGCCAGCAGCCGCGGUAAUACGUAGGGGGCAAGCGUUAUCCGGAUUUACUGGGUGUAAAGGGAGCGUAGACGGCUGUGCAAGCCAGAUGUGAAAGCCCGGGGCUCAACCCCGGGACUGCAUUUGGAACUGUGUGGCUGGAGUGUCGGAGAGGCAGGCGGAAUUCCUAGUGUAGCGGUGAAAUGCGUAGAUAUUAGGAGGAACACCAGUGGCGAAGGCGGCCUGCUGGACGAUGACUGACGUUGAGGCUCGAAAGCGUGGGGAGCAAACAGGAUUAGAUACCCCCGUA
This 447-nucleotide ribosomal RNA is filed under the name uncultured bacterium. RNAcentral describes it as "bacterial SSU rRNA". It matches the Rfam family "Bacterial small subunit ribosomal RNA", at positions 329 to 792 of the family's 1533-position model. The record is from RNAcentral.